Molecule: long non-coding RNA, 1519 nt
Organism: Numida meleagris (helmeted guineafowl)
Lineage: Eukaryota; Metazoa; Chordata; Aves; Galliformes; Numididae
Exons: 2
Source: RefSeq, a predicted model, not a curated record
CAAUGACUGUAAAAAUGUUUGUGUGAAAACCUGUUCCUCUUACCGUAUCUCCAAAUGGUAUCCCAGGGAUCAAACAGACAUUACCAUCAAACGCAUGACAUAUAUUUACUUGCUUUAUUCCAAUGCCUAAAUGCUGCUAGCAGCAAGUUCUCUGUUGAGAAAGAACUACUAGUAAUUUUCCAUAGAUACAGUAAUAAAUAAUCCGGAGCCGUGGGAGAGCAGGUUAAAGGAACUGGAUGAACUUAAAAAUUAUCUAUUUCAUACGAACAGGUUUUGCAUUGGUGUUAGCAAUGCCAUGCUAGAGUAGCUAAAAUGAAUACCAAGAGCCCUUCCAUCAUUAAACCUGCAAAUUCUAGAAAGUCUAGUCGGAGGCAUGUUGAGUUUCUUUCACGUAAGUAUAUAGUGAUGGACACAAUCCAAGAAGACAGAAAAAUGCUGGUAAAUUAAAUCCUGUCAGAGAGAGCCCUGUGGAAUACUGCUGAAGAGUGGAUGGAUGGCUUGAUGAAGAACAUAAGCAGGGCUGGCAUAGUGAGCUCAUUGUUGAAAGCAAGGAAUGAGGAGAUGACAGGAAACGAUAUACAUACUUCAGCAUGGUCAUUACAAUAAUGGGUGUGCUGCUUAUGAAGAAGAAGGGCCCUGAGAACACUCAGACAGAGCCUUGGACACUGCUAUAAAAUGCUAAAGUGACUGUACAUGAUGUAGGGAAUGGAACAGACAGAGGCACGGAGGAAAACCUGGAUAGCACUGCUAGGGUUGAAGUGCUGCAGGUGACAGUGCCCACUGUGACGUCCCUGACAACGAUGUCCCUGCGUGAGGGAUAGUGACAUACACAGCAGUGGAUUGUGACCUCUUGGCCCUCACUGCUUGUAGCCAGGCCCGGAGUCUCACUCUGGCUUGCGCCUGCACUCCUGCCAAGCGUGUCUGUGAGGUCUGGAGUGAGCAGCAAGGAUAGCCUUGGUGCUGGUCUCGUGCUCUGGGAGCUGCUGACAGCCGCUCUCAGUGCUCGUCCCCAGAGCCACUGGAGUUUCUUCCCCGCCCUGCCUGGCUCAGGCAGCCGGGGCAUCCAAGGAGAACGCGGCAGCAAAGGGAACCGCGUGACCCCUGCUGCUGCAGCAGCGGUGUGAGGAGCAGCCCCUCAUCCCCUGCGCUCUCCUGCCCACCACAGCAGCUGGAGAGCAUGGCCACCGAGCUGGAUUGUCGCUGCCCCAUUUGCCUGGACACCAUGGAUGAUGCGUCCACCGCUUCUCCUUUGGUGGGGGCCUCUACAAAAGUCUUUUAUGACACGGACAGCUACCCUUUAGGCCCCGGACCAGUGGGUCCGAAGAAGUAACCAGACUUGUACCUCGCCGACCCACAUGACAUUUGGUGUGCAAUCCACAAAGAGGCAGAACGUGAGGGGGACUUUGACAUGGUUCACAGAUUGCAUUCAGCUCUUGCCUGUCCUGUGAUUUACAAACCUAAUAGGUUCCCCAAAUGGGAGGGUAUAAGCUUUCAAAUAAUAAAAGAGCUCCAGAAAGCG